AACAAUUAACCUGCAGCAACCAUUCAAUUAUGGUGGGAACACCUACUCUCAACUCAAUCUGAGUAUGGAUGGUUACGUGGCUUUCUUCGUUCCAUACAUCGAUAGAAAUGCCAUCAAAAACAUUCGCAAAAACAUUAUUGCUCCACUGUGGACUGAUCUGGAUGCUAACGACGGAGGAAAAUGGACCUACCAGCAGGCCACAAACGGGUCUCUUAUAGCUCAAGCCAACAAUGAAAUAAAGAAAAUGUUUUCUAA
This is a long non-coding RNA of Silurus meridionalis, 255 nucleotides long. RefSeq lists it as uncharacterized. Lineage: Eukaryota; Metazoa; Chordata; Actinopteri; Siluriformes; Siluridae. The record is from RefSeq and is a predicted model, not a curated record. The transcript has 2 exons.